AAAUGACUGGCGGCAGCUUACCAUGCAAGUCGAACGAGGUUAGGGAGCUUGCUCCUGAUACCUAGUGGCGAACGGGUGAGUAAUGCUUAGGAAUCUGCCUAGUAGUGGGGGAUAACUAUCCGAAAGGAUAGCUAAUACCGCAUACGACCUACGGGUGAAAGGGGGCUUUUAGCUCUCGCUAUUAGAUGAGCCUAAGUCGGAUUGGCUAGUUGGUGGGGUAAAGGCCUACCAAGGCGACGAUCUGUAGCUGGUCUGAGAGGAUGAUCAGCCACACUGGGACUGAGACACGGCCCAGACUCCUACGGGAGGCAGCAGUGGGGAAUAUUGGACAAUGGGCGAAAGCCUGAUCCAGCCAUGCCGCGUGUGUGAAGAAGGCCUUUUGGUUGUAAAGCACUUUAAGUAGGGAGGAAAAGCUUGUGGUUAAUAACCCACAAGCCCUGACGUUACCUACAGAAUAAGCACCGGCUAACUCUGUGCCAGCAGCCGCGGUAAU
RNAcentral lists this ribosomal RNA (493 nucleotides) under uncultured bacterium. RNAcentral's name for it is "bacterial SSU rRNA". It matches the Rfam family "Bacterial small subunit ribosomal RNA", at positions 36 to 524 of the family's 1533-position model. The record is from RNAcentral.